AUAUUCUCUCACUCUUCCUUAAUCACUCGAUGGUGGGCUUCCAUCCGCUACGCACGCUCAUUCUUCUCUCUUCAACCGCACAACUUUGGAGUUGUAGAAGCUACUCUCCUUCCACGUAGAUGGUGGUCGCUGGGGACGCCGAACGGGGCAAAAGACGAGGACCUCCGGGUCCAAUUGUCGGCCGAGAUAAGAGGUCUCAGGUUGAAUAGCAUGAACCUGGUGCCUCACAGAGUUGUGUUAGUGAUGAUGACUUCGUUUCACCACCGUUGCCCUUCCUUGCUAUGGUGCGGGAACACCCGUUGUGGGAUGCCCCUUAUUAUGAGCUUACUGUUGCGGAGGACGCGAGGUUUCCUUGGGCGAAGACAAGGAUGCCGACUGCCGCAUUGGUUGAUGUGCUUAAGGACCUCACAGCCUAGCAGAGGGAUGACAUUUGGGGUGUGGGGUUUAGCUCGUUGUUGGAGUUUCGGGUGAAUGAGUGCCCUCCCCACCUUGUGUGCUGGUUGCUUUCCAAUUUUGAUGGGUAGACGAGGACUAGUUUUCAAAUUUUUUUUUGAGAUUUUUGACACUAUGUAUCGUUUGUGACUAUGUUCCCGAGGGUAUUAUGAUCUUUAUGGAGUGCAUAUUAUGAUUUUUUAUCAGUCAACGAUGGGUUUUUUAAAACAACUUUUUGGUUUCUUUUUAA
This is a long non-coding RNA of Ipomoea nil (Japanese morning glory), 682 nucleotides long. RefSeq lists it as uncharacterized. The record is from RefSeq and is a predicted model, not a curated record. The transcript is spliced from 2 exons. Lineage: Eukaryota; Viridiplantae; Streptophyta; Magnoliopsida; Solanales; Convolvulaceae.